GACGAACGCUGGCGGCGUGCCUAAUACAUGCAAGUUGAGCGCUGAAGGUUGGUACUUGUACCGACUGGAUGAGCAGCGAACGGGUGAGUAACGCGUGGGUAAUCUGCUUUUGAGCGGGGGACAACAUUUGGAGACGAAUGCUAAUACCGCAUAAAAACUUUAAACACAAGUUUUAAGUUUGAAAGAUGCAAUUGCAUCACUCAAAGAUGAUUCCGCGUUUUAUUAGCUAGUUGGUGAGGUAAAGGCUCACCAAGGCGAUGAUACAUAGCCGACCUGAGAGGGUGGUCGGCCACCUUGGGACUGGGACCCCGCCCCAGCUCCUACGGGGGGCAGCCGUAGGGAAUCUUCGGCCAUGGACGGAAGUCUUACCGCGCACCGCCGCGUGAGUGGAGGAGGGUUUCGGAUCGUAAAACUCUGUUGGUAGAGAAGAACGUUGGUGAGAGUGGAAAGCUCAUCAAGUGACGGUACCUACACAGAAAGCGACGGCUAACUACGUG
This 497-nucleotide ribosomal RNA is filed under the name uncultured bacterium. RNAcentral's name for it is "partial 16S ribosomal RNA". It matches the Rfam family "Bacterial small subunit ribosomal RNA", at positions 28 to 507 of the family's 1533-position model. The record is from RNAcentral.